UGGGGGAUUUUGCACAAUGGGCGCAAGCCUGAUGCAGCGACGCCGCGUGAGGGAUGAAGGCCUUCGGGUUGUAAACCUCUUUCGCUGGGUUGAAAGGCCAUGCUUUGGGUGUGGUUGAUUUGAACUGGUAAAGAAGUACCGGCUAACUACGUGCCAGCAGCCGCGGUAAUACGUAGGGUACUAGCGUUGUCCGGACUUAUUGGGCGUAAAGGGCUUGUAGGUGGUUUGUCGCGUCUGUCGGGAAAUCCUGUGGCUUAACCAUGGGCUUGCGGUGGGUACGGGCAGGCUUGAGUGCGGUAGGGGAGAAGGGAAGUCCUGGUGUAGCGGUGGAAUGCGCAGAUAUCAGGAGGAACACCGGUGGCGAAGGCGGGUCUCUGGGCCGUUACUGACACUGAGGAGCGAAAGCGUGGGGAGCGAACAGG
RNAcentral lists this ribosomal RNA (422 nucleotides) under Fusobacteriota bacterium. RNAcentral describes it as "Fusobacteria bacterium partial 16S ribosomal RNA". It matches the Rfam family "Bacterial small subunit ribosomal RNA", at positions 355 to 776 of the family's 1533-position model. Lineage: Bacteria; Fusobacteriati; Fusobacteriota. The record is from RNAcentral.